CACCAUUGACAUUUUGUGCAGCUGAAGGCAGCAGGCCAGAUGGACAAUGUGACUAAUGUGGAGUCACACUCCAGAAGGAGUCAGAUGCAUGCAUUCUGCUUCCUAGAACGAAAAAGAUGGAUUUGAUGUCGUGAAAUGGCAAUUCUAAAACUCAGGAGAUAUGUUGGUGUUUCUGAGCUCUUACUCCAGUGUCCACUUGUCCAUAGAAUCACCUUUCACUUCUGGGGUCAGAGGACAGCUCCUGGAAUGAUCUCUCAUCUUACGGCAAAAAGGUA
This 275-nucleotide long non-coding RNA is filed under the name Homo sapiens (human). Its description in RNAcentral is "HSALNT0318373". Lineage: Eukaryota; Metazoa; Chordata; Mammalia; Primates; Hominidae. The record is from RNAcentral.